Molecule: transfer RNA, 68 nt
Filed under: Marmota monax (woodchuck)
Lineage: Eukaryota; Metazoa; Chordata; Mammalia; Rodentia; Sciuridae
Description: tRNA.Ala
Rfam family: tRNA (bases 5-65)
About the family: Transfer RNA (tRNA) molecules are approximately 80 nucleotides in length.
Source: RNAcentral
GGAUUGUGGCUCAGAGGUAGAGCGCUUGCCUAGCACGUGUGAGGCCCUGGGUUCAAUCCUCAGCACCA